AUACGGGGGGAGCAAGCGUUGUCCGGAAUCAUUGGGCGUAAAGGGCACGUAGGCGGUUUCUUAAGUCGAAUGUGAAAUCUCACGGCUCAACCGUGAAACUGCGUUCGAAACUAAGUGACUUGAGUUUGGGAGAGGUGUACGGAAUUCCUGGUGUAGCGGUGGAAUGCGUAGAUAUCAGGAAGAACACCAAUGGCGAAGGCAGUACACUGGCCUGAAACUGACGCUGAGGUGCGAAAGCGUGGGGAGCAAACAGGAGUAGAUACCCCAGUAGUCC
This 274-nucleotide ribosomal RNA is filed under the name uncultured bacterium. RNAcentral's name for it is "partial 16S ribosomal RNA". It matches the Rfam family "Bacterial small subunit ribosomal RNA", at positions 523 to 796 of the family's 1533-position model. The record is from RNAcentral.